Molecule: ribosomal RNA, 121 nt
Filed under: Alectoris philbyi (Philby's partridge)
Lineage: Eukaryota; Metazoa; Chordata; Aves; Galliformes; Phasianidae
Description: partial 16S ribosomal RNA
Source: RNAcentral
AUAAGACGAGAAGACCCUGUGGAACUUUAAAAUAACAACCACCUUCCCACCAGCCUUCCCCCCAAAAGGGCCCACCUAUGUAAAUCAUCUGGUUGACAUUUUUCGGUUGGGGCGACCUUGG